UGGGGUGUCUCCACCAUGGCCUGGAUUCCUCUCCUCCUGCCCUUCCUCACUGUCUGCACAGGACAGCCCAAGGCAAGACCCACCGUUAAUGUCUUUGCUCCAUCCCAAGAGGAACUAGACACCAAAAAGGCCACCCUCGUGUGUCUGAUCAGUGGCUUCUACCCAGGCACCGUGGAUGUGGCCUGGACCAAGAAUGGCUCCCCCGUGUCCCAGGGCGUGGACACGACACAGCCGUCCCGCCAGAGUGACAACAAGUACUCAGCCAGCAGCUACCUCUCACUCUCCUCUGACCAGUGGCUGUCAGGUGACCUCUUCACCUGCAAGGUCACUCAUGAGGACAGUGUCAUCCAGAAGGAGCUCUCCCCAAGCCAGUGCACUUAGAUGCCCACAUCCCUCUUGCUCCCAUCUCUCCAUCCCCACACAUGGGCUUCCCCAGCUCACCCUUCCCCCUCCCCUGCUUUCAAUAAAAAUCUUGACUUUUCUCAUUCAA
Molecule: non-coding RNA, 490 nt
Organism: Trichosurus vulpecula (common brushtail)
Lineage: Eukaryota; Metazoa; Chordata; Mammalia; Diprotodontia; Phalangeridae
Source: the annotation of a RefSeq genome assembly